CGGGAAGGUGCAGAAGAAGGAAGAGCAAAACAAGGCGGACAAGUUGUGGAAGGCAGUAAGAUCUCUCCUUUACUGUCAUUGAUUGCUCUCUCUCUGGUCAUCACAGAAAUUCAAGACCAAGUGUGUGGAGCCAUUCACCUCAACUUCCAUUACUUCACAAAAGUGUCCCAGAAAAGGGGGUCAUCUGCCAGUGACAGGCCUGAGUGUAUAAAUAUAUGUAAGGAUGACAUGAAAAGUUUUUGGUUUGCUGCAAAAGUUCCCUGAGCUGGAUGCUCAAUCAUCAAAACUGCUCAAGUUUUUUGGCAAGAAGGGUGGUGCUGAGGGAAGAAAGGUCAAGAUCAUCCUGAUGCCCCUGAUCCAGACUGACAACAUUGAUGUGAAAAGAGAGUGCCUCCAUCAGGCGCUGUUGGUCUACCUGAACGAAGACCCAGAGAAAGUGGUGAAAUAACACAUGGACUCUGAUGUUGACAACGGUCAAGCUGAAAUGGAGACUGUCUUCAGAGUAUUUGUGAUUCGCAGAGAAGGUGCAGAACGUGACGAUGGUCCAGAGGAUGUGGGUGUGGAGGGGGUACAAGUCCUCAUUGAGCUGGGUAAUGGAGCAGUUGCAAUGCUGUUUGCUUUAGUUUAUGCACUCAAUCUCAGCUACCCCCCAGAGUGGAAAUACACUUUCAAAGCUCUGCAGAAAUUCAUCAUGGGGGUUGAUGGACAGAGGUUCUCUAAGAAACUGCAGGUGCUGAAAACCCUACUUACGUGUUAAUAUUUUGCAGGGUAACUUGUCUUCAACAAUGAAAGUAUCCCGGAGUCAUGUUGGGGAGCCGUUCAGUCAAUAUUAGUUUUUAAAAAUGACAAGUCUGUUUUUAUGUUUCAAUGCUCCCAAUUGUUGCAAAAAUGUGGAGAAGCUUUCUGUUCCUUGUUGAUCUAUUUCUGUGUUAACAGUGCUUCAAAUUGUUGCCUUGUUUGAAUUUGAAAGACAUGUGUAUGGGUAUUUCAGACUAUUUUUCCAUACAAAAGCAAAGAUGAUAAUAGGUAAAUCCGUUUCAUCUGAUUUAAAAUUUUAAAAUGAGACUGUAUUUUAGCAUUGCAUAUUAUAGCAUCAAAAUACUCGUACUCGUCGGCUUCUGCUUCUUCCGGGACCGGGUCGCGGGGGCAGCAGACUCAGCAGAGACACCCAGACGUCCCUCUCCCCAGACACCUCCUCCAACUCCUCCGGGGAGAGCCCAA
Girardinichthys multiradiatus is the source of this 1221-nucleotide long non-coding RNA. RefSeq lists it as uncharacterized. NCBI's taxonomy places the organism in Eukaryota, Metazoa, Chordata, Actinopteri, Cyprinodontiformes, Goodeidae. The record is from RefSeq and is a predicted model, not a curated record. The transcript is spliced from 4 exons.